GCCGCUGUAGCACAAUGGUAGUGCGUUGCUUUCCUAUAUAGAUAGCAGGCAAAGGUUGCGAGUUCGAUCCCCGUCAGCGGUU
Termitomyces sp. Mn162 is the source of this 82-nucleotide non-coding RNA. Lineage: Eukaryota; Fungi; Basidiomycota; Agaricomycetes; Agaricales; Lyophyllaceae. The record is from the annotation of a GenBank genome assembly.